GACGAACGCUGGCGGCGUGCUUAACACAUGCAAGUCGAACGGAAAGGCCCUGCUUUUGUGGGGUGCUCGAGCGGCGAACGGGUGAGUAACACGUGAGUAACCUGCCCUUGACUUUGGGAUAACUUCAGGAAACUGGGGCUAAUACCGGAUAGGAGCUCCUGCUGCAUGGUGGGGGUUGGAAAGUUUCGGCGGUUGGGGAUGGACUCGCGGCUUAUCAGCUUGUUGGUGGGGUAGUGGCUUACCAAGGCUUUGACGGGUAGCCGGCCUGAGAGGGUGACCGGCCACAUUGGGACUGAGAUACGGCCCAGACUCCUACGGGAGGCAGCAGUGGGGAAUAUUGCACAAUGGGCGGAAGCCUGAUGCAGCAACGCCGCGUGCGGGAUGACGGCCUUCGGGUUGUAAACCGCUUUCGCCUGUGACGAGGCGUGAGUGACGGUAAUGGGUAAAGAAGCACCGGCUAACUACGUG
RNAcentral lists this ribosomal RNA (468 nucleotides) under uncultured bacterium. RNAcentral describes it as "partial 16S ribosomal RNA". It matches the Rfam family "Bacterial small subunit ribosomal RNA", at positions 28 to 507 of the family's 1533-position model. The record is from RNAcentral.